GAAAAGAAGGAAACAAAGGAAGAACAAAACCUAGGUGGAGAAAAGUGUGGAAAAUCAAGGAAAAUAAGUGAAAAGGUAGGAUUUUUCAAUUUAAACUUGAAAUCUAUUUUCCUUAAGCAUUUCUCCUUAUUUUCCAUGGUUAAAUUACAUGUUUUCAUGAUGAAUUCAUGGCUGGUGAAAAAGGGUAUGGAGAGAGAAAGAUGUUGGAUUGAAUUGAUUUUAAGAUAUGUUAGUGUUUUUAGUUAAUUUAGCAUAUUUAGAAGCAAAACAACAAGAAAAGAAUCCAUUUUCCCCAUGAAUCUUCAUUGGCCGAAUCUUCCUUGAUGUGUGUGGGUGAUGGAUUGUUAUUAUUUCAAGAGAAAUGGCUUGGAAAAUGAUGAAUAAUGGUGAGAUAAAUUAAGUAGGAAAAAUCACGGUGUUAGUGCACUGUAAUAGCCGAAUUUUUCCAUGAAGAAAUGGAAGGGUUUUGAUGCUGAAAUUGGUGUUAUUUGAAUAAUGUUUGGUGAAUUGAGGUAUUAGAAAAGAAAUGGAGUAAUUUGGGAUUAAAUUGGACGUGUUAGUAAUUAAUCGGGUGAUAAGACGAAUUUGGCUGGUAUCGAAAUUUAGAUGGUUACUCGUGCAUUUUGCAUUCCAUAUCAUGCAUUAGUAGUCUAAAUUAGUUCAAUUUCGAUUUAGUACCAAUGUAGUGAGUUUCUCGAUUUUGUACUGUGUCAAGGUGGUGAGUCCGCCGAUAAAGGCAAGGGAAUUGCAUUCGAGGACCAGUAGUCUUAAUACUUUGAAAAUCCGCACUCUAGACAUUGUGAGUAAACUUACUGUCAUUUUAAUUAUCUAGGGUGGUUUUUAGAUGAUUUCAUGAAUUAUGUGGAAAAAGGGAUUUAAAAAGGUAAAUUUUCAUAUUUUAUGAAUAAAUGUGUUUCAAUGAAAUUAAUUUAUAAAUUGUUUUGAAAAAUAGAGUACACAGAGACUGCUAUUUGUUGCAAUUUGAUUGUUUAAAUUAAUUGGCUUAUGAUAAAUUGGGCAUGAUUGGCUGGUUGGCAAUUGUAUUGAAAUACGGAUUGUUUGUUUGCCUUGAAAGAUUGUGAAUUACAAUAAUUGCCAUAUCCUGUUAUUGAAUUUUAUUGAUUGGUGGGAUAAUUAUUAGUUUACUGCAGUAGGCGGGUUCUGUGGACCAGCCUAGGAGAGGGGCACGGUAACCCCAUUUAUAUGUGCUCACCUCGGGUGUAGAGGUGCGUAGGGUAGCUCCUGGGGUGAUAUUUGAGUUCACUUCACGCCGAACCACCACGUUAUGGUGAACUCAGCCAACGCCAAGGAACAGCUGUGUUUUUCUCAAACUAAAAAAUAUGUUUAUGUAUGUAUAAAAUUUAUUUUCAACAGCCUUGGCGGUCUCGGUAGGAUGCCUCGGCCAAGGUGUCCCCGAGGAUAGAUUUAUGGCAUAAGCCUAGUUUUUAUGAGAUUCAUAAGCCUCGUUACGUAUUUUGAAUGAAAUGUGUUCUAAUGCUGUGACCUAGUUUAUGAUGAUUUACUUUAUCAUCUCCGUGUACUCAACUCUAGAUGUUUAUGAUGAUGUCUAUUUACUCAUUGAGAUUUUAUAAUCUCACCACCCUCAUUUCCACCCAUUUCAGGCUAAGUAUAAGUUGUAGAUAGCUAAUAUCAUAGAAGGCUACAGUUGGCUUUACUUCCUCAAAAACUAUAGGUUUGCAGCCUUCGUUCAUUUUUGUCAUUUGGGGGUCCAUAUGUCACUGUAAAUUAAAUAUCAUACUCUAGUUAUCUGUACUACUGUAUGUAGAAAUUUAUUUUGCUUUUACACUGUAAAAAUUAUUUACGCAGUAUUCUAAAUAUAUUAUUUUAUAAGAAAGUAGAAUAUUUUGUUUAAUAUUUUUAUUUUAUUCUAACAGUCAUGAUUUCACUUUAAACAAAUGUUUUAAACAUCUAAAUUUAUUUUUGAUUUUGAAAUAUGUGUUUUGCACUUAUAUACUACAUUAUUAGUUGGUAUUGAAUUUUUUUUUUUAAAAUGACCGAAAUACCCCUGUGAGACGAAAAUUAUUAUUUUAUUUGUUUUGAGUUGGAAACAGUUUAAAAUAUUUUAGAACAUGAUUUUCAGCAAUGGUUACUCACGGGGGAAAUGAGAUACUGAUAUUAAGCCUUGUGGGGUCCUGGUCGACAUUCCGG
RNAcentral lists this long non-coding RNA (2169 nucleotides) under Theobroma cacao (cacao). RNAcentral's name for it is "long non-coding RNA (TCAC_LNC005477)". The record is from RNAcentral. Lineage: Eukaryota; Viridiplantae; Streptophyta; Magnoliopsida; Malvales; Malvaceae.